RNAcentral lists this ribosomal RNA (566 nucleotides) under Kazachstania martiniae. RNAcentral describes it as "LSU rRNA". It matches the Rfam family "Eukaryotic large subunit ribosomal RNA", at positions 71 to 652 of the family's 3401-position model. Lineage: Eukaryota; Fungi; Ascomycota; Saccharomycetes; Saccharomycetales; Saccharomycetaceae. The record is from RNAcentral.
GGGAUUACCUUAGUAACGGCGAGUGAAGCGGUAAAAGCUCAAAUUUGAAAUCUAGUACCUUCGGUGCUCGAGUUGUAAUUUGUAGAGGGAUACUUUGGGGCCGUUCCUUGUCUAUGUUCCUUGGAACAGGACGUCAUAGAGGGUGAGAAUCCCGUGUGGCGAGGAGUGCGGUUCUAUGUAAAGUGCUCUCGAAGAGUCGAGUUGUUUGGGAAUGCAGCUCUAAGUGGGUGGUAAAUUCCAUCUAAAGCUAAAUAUUGGCGAGAGACCGAUAGCGAACAAGUACAGUGAUGGAAAGAUGAAAAGAACUUUGAAAAGAGAGUGAAAAAGUACGUGAAAUUGUUGAAAGGGAAGGGCAUUUGAUCAGACAUGGUGUUUUGUGCCCUCUGCUCCUUGUGGGUGGGGGAAUCUCGCAGCUCACUGGGCCAACAUCAGUUUUGGCGGCAGGAUAAAUCUAUAGGAACGUAGCUUACCUCGGUAAGUGUUAUAGCCUGUGGGAAUACUGCCAGCCGGGACUGAGGACUGCGACUUUGUCAAGGAUGUUGGCAUAAUGGUUAAAUGCCGCCCGU